AGAUUGAACGCUGGCGGCAUGCCUAACACAUGCAAGUCGAACGGGAGUAGCAAUACUCUAGUGGCGGACGGGUGAGGAAUACGUAGGAAUUUGCCCUUAAGUGGGGGAUAACCCGGGGAACCCGGAUUAAUACCGCAUGACCUCGAAGAGCAAAGUGGGGGGAUCGCAAGACCUCACGCUUUUGGAGAAGCCUACGUCGGAUUAGCUAGUUGGUGAGGUAAUGGCUCACCAAGGCGACGAUCCGUAACUGGUCUGAGACGGAUGAUCAGUCACACCGGAACUGACGACACGGGUCCGACUCCGUACGGGAGCAGCAGGUGGGGAAUUAGUGGACAGU
This 337-nucleotide ribosomal RNA is filed under the name uncultured soil bacterium. RNAcentral describes it as "bacterial SSU rRNA". It matches the Rfam family "Bacterial small subunit ribosomal RNA", at positions 26 to 372 of the family's 1533-position model. The record is from RNAcentral.